This 345-nucleotide unclassified non-coding RNA is filed under the name soil metagenome. RNAcentral's name for it is "partial contains 5.8S ribosomal RNA, internal transcribed spacer 2, and large subunit ribosomal RNA". The stretch from base 1 to 120 matches the Rfam family "5.8S ribosomal RNA", at positions 35 to 154 of the family's 154-position model. The record is from RNAcentral.
GAUGAAGAACGCAGCGAAAUGCGAUACGUAAUGUGAAUUGCAGAAUUCAGUGAAUCAUCGAGUCUUUGAACGCACAUUGCGCCCCCUGGUAUUCCGGGGGGCAUGCCUGUCCGAGCGUCAUUGCUGCCCUUAAGCACGGCUUGUGUGUUGGGCCUCCGUCCUCCUCCCGGGGGACGGGCCCGAAAGGCAGCGGCGGCACCGCGUCCGGUCCUCGAGCGUAUGGGGCUUCGUCACCCGCUCUUGUAGGCCCGGCCGGCGCUUGCCGACACAUCAAUCUUUUUUCCAGGUUGACCUCGGAUCAGGUAGGGAUACCCGCUGAACUUAAGCAUAUCAAUAAGCGGAGGA